GACGAAUCAUCUGGAAAGAUGAAUCAAAGAAGGUAAUAAUCCUGUAGUCGAAAAUGUUGUCUCUCUUGAGUGGAUCCUGAGUACGACGGAGCACGUGAAAUUCCGUCGGAAUCUGGGAGGACCAUCUCCUAAGGCUAAAUACUCUCUAGUGACCGAUAGUGAACCAGUACCGUGAGGGAAAGGUGAAAAGCACCCCGGAAGGGGAGUGAAAUAGAACCUGAAACCGUGUGCUUACAAGUAGUCAGAGCCCGUUAAUGGGUGAUGGCGUGCCUUUUGUAGAAUGAACCGGCGAGUUACGAUUUGAUGCAAGGUUAAGCAGUAAAUGUGGAGCCGUAGCGAAAGCGAGUCUGAAUAGGGCGUUUAGUAUUUGGUCGUAGACCCGAAACCAGGUGAUCUACCCUUGGUCAGGUUGAAGUUCAGGUAACACUGAAUGGAGGACCGAACCGACUUACGUUGAAAAGUGAGCGGAUGAACUGAGGGUAGCGGAGAAAUUCCAAUCGAACCUGGAGAUAGCUGGUUCUCUCCGAAAUAGCUUUAGGGCUAGCCUCAAGUGAUGAUUAUUGGAGGUAGAGCACUGUUUGGACGAGGGGCCCCUCUCGGGUUACCGAAUUCAGACAAACUCCGAAUGCCAAUUAAUUUAACUUGGGAGUCAGAACAUGGGUGAUAAGGUCCGUGUUCGAAAGGGAAACAGCCCAGACCACCAGCUAAGGUCCCAAAAUAUAUGUUAAGUGGAAAAGGAUGUGGCGUUGCCCAGACAACUAGGAUGUUGGCUUAGAAGCAGCCAUCAUUUAAAGAGUGCGUAAUAGCUCACUAGUCGAGUGACACUGCGCCGAAAAUGUACCGGGGCUAAACAUAUUACCGAAGCUGUGGAUUGUCCUUUGGACAAUGGUAGGAGAGCGUUCUAAGGGCGUUGAAGCAUGAUCGUAAGGACAUGUGGAGCGCUUAGAAGUGAGAAUGCCGGUGUGAGUAGCGAAAGACGGGUGAGAAUCCCGUCCACCGAUUGACUAAGGUUUCCAGAGGAAGGCUCGUCCGCUCUGGGUUAGUCGGGUCCUAAGCUGAGGCCGACAGGCGUAGGCGAUGGAUAACAGGUUGAUAUUCCUGUACCACCUAUAAUCGUUUUAAUCGAUGGGGGGACGCAGUAGGAUAGGCGAAGCGUGCGAUUGGAUUGCACGUCUAAGCAGUAAGGCUGAGUAUUAGGCAAAUC
Molecule: ribosomal RNA, 1204 nt
Filed under: Staphylococcus aureus
Lineage: Bacteria; Bacillati; Bacillota; Bacilli; Caryophanales; Staphylococcaceae
Description: partial 23S ribosomal RNA
Rfam family: Bacterial large subunit ribosomal RNA
Source: RNAcentral